Molecule: non-coding RNA, 76 nt
Organism: Podarcis lilfordi (Lilford's wall lizard)
Lineage: Eukaryota; Metazoa; Chordata; Lepidosauria; Squamata; Lacertidae
Source: the annotation of a GenBank genome assembly
UGGACCAUAGCUCAGCGGCAAGGUGUCUGUUUUGCAUGCAGAAGGUCCCAGGUUCAGUCCCCGAUGGCAUUUCCAA